This 520-nucleotide ribosomal RNA is filed under the name uncultured Entrophospora. RNAcentral describes it as "uncultured Claroideoglomus partial 18S ribosomal RNA". The record is from RNAcentral. Lineage: Eukaryota; Fungi; Glomeromycota; Glomeromycetes; Entrophosporales; Entrophosporaceae.
CGUAAGGUGCCAAACGAGUCAUUAAAAAAUUAACAUCGUCUGAUUCCUAGUCGGCAUAGUUUAUGGUUAAGACUACGACGGUAUCUGAUCGUCUUCGAUCCCCUAACUUUCGUUCUUGAUUAAUGAAAACAUCCUUGGCAAAUGCUUUCGCAGUAGUUAGUCUUCAAUAAAUCCAAGAAUUUCACCUCUGACAAUUGAAUACUAAUGCCCCCAACUAUCCCUAUUAAUCAUUACGGUGAUCCUAGAAACCAACAAAAUUAGAAUCAUGCCGUCCUAUUUUAUUAUUCCAUGCUAAUGUAUUCAAGCAAAAUGCCUGCUUUAAACACUCUAAUUUCUUCAAAGUAAGGUCCUGGUUCCCCGUGACACCCAAUUAAGGGCAUCGCGGUUCUCCAGAAGGUGAGAAAUUGACUACACCAGUUCAUACCCCUUAAGGCACGACCGAUGUGUCAAUCCCGAAAUUCAACUACGAGCUUUUUAACUGCAACAACUUUAAUAUAACGCUAUUGGAGCUGGAAUUACC